UACAGAGGGUGCGAGCGUUAAUCGGAAUUACUGGGCGUAAAGCGUGCGUAGACGGCUAUCUAAGUCGGGUGUGAAAUCCCCGGGCUCAACCUGGGAACUGCAUUUGUGACUGCAUGGCUAGAGUACGGUAGAGGGGGAUGGAAUUCCGCGUGUAGCAGUGAAAUGCGUAGAUAUGCGGAGGAACACCGAUGGCGAAGGCAAUCCCCUGGACCUGUACUGACGCUCAUGCACGAAAGCGUGGGGAGCAAACAGG
RNAcentral lists this ribosomal RNA (253 nucleotides) under uncultured bacterium. RNAcentral's name for it is "partial 16S ribosomal RNA". It matches the Rfam family "Bacterial small subunit ribosomal RNA", at positions 524 to 776 of the family's 1533-position model. The record is from RNAcentral.